GCCCCCGUAGCUCAGUCGGAUAGAGCGGGGGAUUCCUAAUCCCUGUCUGUCACAGGUUCGAUUCCUGUCGGGGGUA
This 76-nucleotide transfer RNA is filed under the name Myxococcales bacterium. RNAcentral's name for it is "tRNA-Arg". It matches the Rfam family "tRNA". From Rfam's summary of the family: Transfer RNA (tRNA) molecules are approximately 80 nucleotides in length. Their secondary structure includes four short double-helical elements and three loops (D, anti-codon, and T loops). Lineage: Bacteria; Pseudomonadati; Myxococcota; Myxococcia; Myxococcales. The record is from RNAcentral.